AUCUUCAUCAAACAUCAAUAUUACCCACCAGUCAUCUAGUAUUUGACGUUUGUAAGGAAAAAGAUGAAGACCAAUCAGCUUGCCCUGGUUGCAAUUUCCCUCAUGGUGCUAUGUUUAGACAUAUCAGGGAAGGUUUCAGCUACUGAAGAGUGUCAUGCUGCACCAAUCACAGAAGUACCAAAACCAUGCGUUGAUGCAACCUGCAAAGCGAUAUGCUCAGAUAAGUACCAAAGCAAAGGCGAGUGCUUCAGUACUGAUGGGCUUUAUUACUGCAACUUUUGUGCGAAUAGCCCUCCACUUCCACAAAUUGGGCUGAAUUGAAGUACUGAGUUAGCUAUCUCGUUAACACAAAAUGGUGUGAUGUGCAGCUCAUUCCAUGUGCUUAAUUAAUAAUUACAGAAGAUUUGUAAUUUGUCUUAUCAGCGGAACUGUGUUUGAGGCAUAUAUAAGGGUGAUAAUUGGUUGCAGUUCAUUUUCUUCGAUUUCA
Non-coding RNA from Oryza sativa Japonica Group (Japanese rice), 487 nucleotides. NCBI's taxonomy places the organism in Eukaryota, Viridiplantae, Streptophyta, Magnoliopsida, Poales, Poaceae. The record is from RefSeq and is a predicted model, not a curated record.